Molecule: ribosomal RNA, 104 nt
Filed under: uncultured archaeon
Lineage: Archaea
Description: partial 16S ribosomal RNA
Source: RNAcentral
CUCCCCCGUUGCUGACCCCGGGUUCGAUAGCGCCAAUUAGGCGCCACCUCGCCAAGAACCAACUUCGGUGAAGCGACGGGCGGUGUGUGCAAGGAGCAGGGACG